AGUGAACGCUGGCGGCGUGCCUAAUACAUGCAAGUCGAACGGAGUGGCGCACGGGGGAGUAAUGUAUAGCUAAUCCGCCUAACACUAGAGGACAACAGAUGGAAACGACUGCUAAUACUCCAUAGUGUAGGGUGUGGCUAUAUUGUAGCAGCUAGUUGGUGAGGUAAUGGCUCACCAAGGCUAUGACGCAUAACUGGUCUGAGUGGAUGAUCAGUCGCGCUUUACCUGAUGCACAGUCCGGACUCCUACGGCAGUCAGCGGUAGGCUGUAUUUCUCAAGUGGGGUGACCCUGAAACAGUUACGCCUCGUAGAGGAUGACACUUUUCGAAGCGUAUACUCCUUUUGUUAGGGGAUCGGUACCUUACGAAUAAGCACCGGCUAACUCCGUGCCAGCAGCCGCGGUAAUAC
RNAcentral lists this ribosomal RNA (408 nucleotides) under uncultured bacterium. Its description in RNAcentral is "partial 16S ribosomal RNA". It matches the Rfam family "Bacterial small subunit ribosomal RNA", at positions 29 to 526 of the family's 1533-position model. The record is from RNAcentral.